This 253-nucleotide ribosomal RNA is filed under the name uncultured bacterium. Its description in RNAcentral is "partial 16S ribosomal RNA". It matches the Rfam family "Bacterial small subunit ribosomal RNA", at positions 524 to 776 of the family's 1533-position model. The record is from RNAcentral.
GACGAACCUUGCUAACGUUAUUCGGAAUUACUGGGCUUAAAGGGUGCGUAGGCGGUGCAGAAAGUUGGGUGUGAAAUCCCUCGGCUCAACCGAGGAAUUGCGCCCAAAACUGUUGCACUAGAGGAAGACAGAGGUACGCGGAACUUAGGGUGGAGCGGUGAAAUGCGUUGAUAUCCUAAGGAACACCGGUGGCGAAAGCGGCUUCCUGGUCCAGAACCGACGUUCAGGCACGAAAGCGUGGGGAGCAAACAGG